RNAcentral lists this ribosomal RNA (116 nucleotides) under Pteropus alecto (black flying fox). Lineage: Eukaryota; Metazoa; Chordata; Mammalia; Chiroptera; Pteropodidae. The record is from RNAcentral. RNAcentral also lists the same sequence under 1 other name.
GUCUACAGCCAUGCCACCCUGAACAAGCCCGAUGUCUGAUCUCGGAAGCAAAGUAGGGUUGGGCCUGGUUAGUACUUAGAUGGAAGACCACCUAGGAAGACCAGGUGCUGUAGGCG